CCCUUAGAGUUUGAUCCUGGCUCAGAAUGAACGCUGGCGGCAUGGAUUAGGCAUGCAAGUCGUGCGAGAACCUCUCCUUCGGGAGAGGGGACAGCGGCGAACGGGGUAGUACUACGUCGGUACGUGCCCUCGGGUCCGGGAUAGCCGCGGGAAACUGCGGGUAAUACCGGAUGACCUCUCCGGAGCAAAGGUGAGACUCCGCCCGAGGAGCGGCCGACGCGAUACCAGCUUGUUGGUGAGGUAAAAGCUCACCAAGGCGAAGACGUCUAGGGGGUGUGAGAGCAUGGCCCCCACCACUGGGACUGAGACACUGCCCAGACACCUACGGGUGGCUGCAGUCGAGAAUCUUCGGCAAUGGGCGCAAGCCUGACCGAGCGAUGCCGCGUGCGGGAUGACGGCCCUUGGGUUGUAAACCGCUGUCAGAGGGGAUGAAGGCGGCGCGAAGAGCGUCGCUUGACAGAGCCUCAGAGGAAGCCCGGGCUAAGUACGUGCCAGCAGCCGCGGUAACACGUACUGGGCGAGCGUUAUUCGGAAUCACUGGGCUUACAGGGUGCGUAGGCGGCCGGCCAGGUCGGGUGUGAAAGUCUCUAGCUCAACUAGAGAAUUGCGCCCGAAACCUGUCGGCUCGAGUCAGCUAGGGGUCCGCGGAACUUCCGGGUGGAGCGGUGAAAUGUGUUGAUAUCGGAAGGAACGCCGGUGGCGAAAGCGGCGGACUGGGGCUGAACUGACGCUGAGGCACGAAAGCCAGGGGAGCGAACGGGAUAGAUACCCCGGUAGUCUGGCCGUAA
Molecule: ribosomal RNA, 788 nt
Filed under: uncultured bacterium
Lineage: Bacteria
Description: bacterial SSU rRNA
Rfam family: Bacterial small subunit ribosomal RNA
Source: RNAcentral